CCUACGGGCGGCAGCAGUGGGGGAUAUUGGACAAUGGGGGGAACCCUGAUCCAGCGACGCCGCGUGAGUGAAGAAGUAUUUCGGUAUGUAAAGCUCUGUCAGCAGGGAAGAAAGCAAUGACGGUACCUGACCAAGAAGCCCCGGCUAACUACGUGCCAGCAGCCGCGGUAAUACGUAGGGGGCAAGCGUUAUCCGGAAUUACUGGGUGUAAAGGGAGCGUAGACGGCUGUGCAAGUCUGGAGUGAAAGGCGGGGGGCCAACCCCCGGACUGCUCUGGAAACUGUAUGGCUGGAGUGCAGGAGAGGUAAGCGGAAUUCCUAGUGUAGCGGUGAAAUGCGUAGAUAUUAGGAGGAACACCAGUGGCGAAGGCGGCUUACUGGACUGUAACUGACGUUGAGGCUCGAAAGCGUGGGGAGCAAACAGGAUUAGAUACCCGAGUAGUC
RNAcentral lists this ribosomal RNA (443 nucleotides) under uncultured bacterium. RNAcentral describes it as "partial 16S ribosomal RNA". It matches the Rfam family "Bacterial small subunit ribosomal RNA", at positions 338 to 795 of the family's 1533-position model. The record is from RNAcentral.